CCUACGGGAUGCAGCAGUGGGGAAUAUUGGACAAUGGGCGAAAGCCUGAUCCAGCCAUGCCGCGUGUGUGAAGAAGGCCUUCGGGUUGUAAAGCACUUUCAGUGGGGAAGAAAGCCUUGGGGCUAAUACCCUCGAGGAAGGACAUCACCCACAGAAGAAGCACCGGCUAACUCCGUGCCAGCAGCCGCGGUAAUACGGAGGGUGCGAGCGUUAAUCGGAAUUACUGGGCGUAAAGCGCGCGUAGGCGGUCUGAUAAGCCGGUUGUGAAAGCCCCGGGCUCAACCUGGGAACGGCAUCCGGAACUGUCAGGCUAGAGUGCAGGAGAGGAAGGUAGAAUUCCCGGUGUAGCGGUGAAAUGCGUAGAGAUCGGGAGGAAUACCAGUGGCGAAGGCGGCCUUCUGGACUGACACUGACGCUGAGGUGCGAAAGCGUGGGUAGCAAACAGGAUUAGAUACCCUGUAGUC
This 464-nucleotide ribosomal RNA is filed under the name Vreelandella stevensii. RNAcentral describes it as "partial 16S ribosomal RNA". It matches the Rfam family "Bacterial small subunit ribosomal RNA", at positions 338 to 795 of the family's 1533-position model. Lineage: Bacteria; Pseudomonadati; Pseudomonadota; Gammaproteobacteria; Oceanospirillales; Halomonadaceae. The record is from RNAcentral.